This is a long non-coding RNA of Chelonia mydas (Green sea turtle), 523 nucleotides long. RefSeq lists it as uncharacterized. The record is from RefSeq and is a predicted model, not a curated record. Lineage: Eukaryota; Metazoa; Chordata; Testudines; Cheloniidae. The transcript is spliced from 2 exons.
AGGGUCAGUGUCUGUCUGUGUGAUGCUUUUGCUGGGGACAGAACAGGAAUGGAGUCUUAGAAUUUAAACAUUGUAGCUCCAUGAGGAUGAAGCUCCGAGCCUGGGGACACUGGGAGGAGAAGGCGAGAGCAAGACUGCUGACUUGGUACAUGCCUCACAGAGAAAAUGGUAAAAUAAAUCAGGAGACUUGAAGAACCUGCUCCUCGUUGUCCUCUGGCAAUUGAAGGAUGGAUUUGCUGGAUUCAUCAGCUGUUAGCCACAACCUCCAGGCAAGUGGUGAUGUUCCUGAAAUUCAUCACUUCACCAUGUCAUCUUUGCUGGAGGAAGGACUCCCCUUCAUUUGCAGAAAUCGGCAUGCUGGGGAUUAGGCUGCACAUUUCAGAGGACUAGAGACUUUCUGUCCAUAAGCCGCAAAGCGUUGUAGAAAGGAAGGUAACUCUGGAGGCAGGGGCACAUGCAGGGGAAAGGCCAUGCCCUAGGUCACACAGCAGGCCAGAGGUAGAGCAGGGAUUAGAACCCAGUU